Molecule: long non-coding RNA, 238 nt
Organism: Arabidopsis thaliana (thale cress)
Lineage: Eukaryota; Viridiplantae; Streptophyta; Magnoliopsida; Brassicales; Brassicaceae
Product: other RNA
Exons: 1
Source: RefSeq
GAUUUCAAUGCUAAUGGACCACACACAUAUAUUCAUCCCCUCGAGCUAAUAUUACCAUCUCAUUUUGUCAGAUCCAUUAUACGCAAAGAUUCUAAUGUAUUUAUGUUUUGUUUUGCAUUUAUAUAUAAAAGCGAUGAAACAGCAAACUAGCUAUUUCGAUAAAUACGAAGAUAAUCAUAACACAAAAUAUUUACACAUAAAAUUCUUCCGAUUAAAACAUAUCGAGUCCAUUUAGGGA